This 506-nucleotide ribosomal RNA is filed under the name uncultured bacterium. RNAcentral's name for it is "partial 16S ribosomal RNA". It matches the Rfam family "Bacterial small subunit ribosomal RNA", at positions 30 to 523 of the family's 1533-position model. The record is from RNAcentral.
AUUGAACGCUGGCGGCAGGCUUAACACAUGCAAGUCGAGCGGUAACAGAGAGAAGCUUGCUUCUCUGCUGACGAGCGGCGGACGGGUGAGUAAUGCCUAGGAAUCUGCCUAGUAGUGGGGGAUAACUUGCCGAAAGGUAAGCUAAUACCGCAUACGUCCUACGGGAGAAAGGAGGGGACCUUCGGGCCUUUCGCUAUUAGAUGAGCCUAGGUCGGAUUAGUUAGUUGGUGAGGUAAUGGCUCACCAAGACCGCGAUCCGUAACUGGUCUGAGGAGAUGAUCAGUCACACUGGAAAUGCGACACGGUCCAGACUCCUACGGGAGGCAGCAGUGGGGAAUAUUGGACAAUGGGGGGAACCCUGAUCCAGCCAUGUCGCGUGUGUGAAGAAGGUCUUAGGAUUGUAAAGCACUUUAAGUUGGGAGGAAGAGCAGUUAACUAAUAUUUGACUGUUUUGACGUUACCGACAGAAUAAGCACCGGCUAACUUCGUGCCAGCAGCCGCCGCAG